Orbicella faveolata is the source of this 439-nucleotide long non-coding RNA. The record is from RefSeq and is a predicted model, not a curated record. Lineage: Eukaryota; Metazoa; Cnidaria; Anthozoa; Scleractinia; Merulinidae.
AUUUAAUGACUUUCUCCCAUUCUCCUGCUGCUCCUUGCUACAAAGCCCUGUUAUUUAAACCUUGCCCCAAUGAGUUUUGCUGAGGUUGUGAACUGCUUUGCUCUCAGUUGUUGAAACGUCACCCUCAAGCCAGAUUGGGUGGUGGACAAGAAGCUGCGAGUACCAUCAAGUGUCACCCCUUCUUCCGCUCUAUUAACUGGGACGAUCUUUAUUCUAGAAAAGUGGAGCCCCCAUUUAAACCAAACAUUACCGGAGAGGAGGAUGUUAGUCAGUUUGAUAGUAAAUUUACCAGACAGACACCCGUCGAUUCACCGGUGGAUUCAAUGUUGAGCGAGAGUGCAGAUAAAAUAUUUCAGGGCUUCACAUAUGUAGCACCUUCAGUUAUGGAUUCAUUAAAUAGAGAAAUACCCAUGUCUCCUUGGAGAUACACAAGGUAUUA